GUGUGUGUGGUGAGAGAGUGUUUGCGUGUUUCAUUUGCAGUCAAGUUGAUGGGCACACAAGCAACGCUAGCGCAUUUUAAUGACAUCGAUAUAAAUAUAUAAAUAUAAUAGAUAAAUAAAUAGGAGAGGGAAAGCAUCUAGGUGGUGAAUGUUUUACAAUUUUUUUUCAGAUGAGCAUGUCAACGUUUUUGUAAAAAUGUAACAAAGUAAAGGGUGUCAAGACGUUUCUCUUCUGUGUCAUUUUUUUUUAUAUGGAUUCCAUUUAAAUACCCAACAAGUUUUUUUUUCUCCACCUUUGACGUCCGUUUUUGUCUUUUUCACGUAAGAAAAAUUAGAGUUUUUCCCUUCCCUGUUAAUAUCCCGGUGCAUUCAGUGCCUAUCACAGCCAUAAGUUCACAUCAUGAAACGUGUUGUUUUGUUCCCCCCCCAAGUAAAAAAAAAGAAAAGUAAGUCUUAGCCCCCCCAUGUGUAAGCACAACCCCAUCAAAAAGAUUACAAACUUGCACGCUGUCCAAGCACAAAGUCAACGUCCUGCCAUAGACGCUGGUUGACCUUUUUUUUUUACAUGGUCUUACCAUUUGUAUAAUAAUGACUGUAACUUCAUUCCAUCCUGCUUUUUUUUGUACUCAUCGCGCUGUAAAUAGUGUACAUAAGAUUGAGAGUGUAGGUCCACUAUGUGUGUGUGUGUGUGAGCGUGUGUGUGUUAGGGUGUUAUCUAAAUGGAACUGUAGCCCCAGAGACUCCACGUCAAGCGUCCCCCCCCCCCCGUUCCCCCACCCUCGUUUUACCACGACUAGGGGGCGCCAGUUGACACGUUCGCUUUUAAUGUCUAUGUUACGUUCCGGGAUAUCGAUGGCAAUGGGGAAAAAAAGAGAGAAAUUGUUUUUCUGCAGCUACGUGAAUGUAUAUUUCUGAGGGUGUUACAAAGAUGGAAAAAAAAAAACAAUUGUUCAAAAUUGUGACUGACCAGUGAAGUAACUUGUAUUUGUUUUAAGCAUUAAAUGAUUUCAAUAGUCAA
Syngnathus acus (greater pipefish) is the source of this 1018-nucleotide long non-coding RNA. RefSeq lists it as uncharacterized. The transcript has 2 exons. The record is from RefSeq and is a predicted model, not a curated record. NCBI's taxonomy places the organism in Eukaryota, Metazoa, Chordata, Actinopteri, Syngnathiformes, Syngnathidae.